CCAAUCUGCACAGACUACAGCUGUAUCUACCUCUUGUGCUACACCUGUUCUUUCUACGUGUGCUACACCUGGUAAGUUUUAAAACCUUUUUUCUUUUAACAUGUGUAUGCAUUUCUUAUCAAUUGCAUAUUCUUUUUUGCAAUUGCAGGUCUUGUUUUAAAUAAAAAAGUACUUAAUGCAUUAGCUUAACGCGAUUUUGACGUCAUAAAAUUAUCUUUAUUUUUUUUAUAGACAUUAAGUGUUUUAAC
Hydra vulgaris (swiftwater hydra) is the source of this 248-nucleotide non-coding RNA. The record is from RefSeq and is a predicted model, not a curated record. Lineage: Eukaryota; Metazoa; Cnidaria; Hydrozoa; Anthoathecata; Hydridae.